RNAcentral lists this ribosomal RNA (292 nucleotides) under uncultured bacterium. Its description in RNAcentral is "partial 16S ribosomal RNA". The record is from RNAcentral.
GGACUACCGGGGUAUCUAAUCCUGUUUGCUCCCCACACUUUCGAGCCUCAGCGUCAGUUAGAGCCCAGCAAGCCGCCUUCGCCACUGGUGUUCCUCCGAAUCUCUACGCAUUUCACCGCUACACUCGGAAUUCCGCUUGCCUCUACUCCACUCAAGAACCACAGUUUCAACGGCAGUCCAGAGGUUGAGCCCCUGGUUUUCACCGCUGACUUGCAGUCCCGCCUGCGCUCCCUUUACACCCAGUAAUUCCGGACAACGCUCGCCACCUACGUAUUACCGCGGCGGCUGGCAC